RNAcentral lists this ribosomal RNA (252 nucleotides) under uncultured bacterium. RNAcentral describes it as "partial 16S ribosomal RNA". It matches the Rfam family "Bacterial small subunit ribosomal RNA", at positions 524 to 776 of the family's 1533-position model. The record is from RNAcentral.
UACGUAGGUCCCGAGCGUUGUCCGGAUUUAUUGGGUUUAAAGGGUGCGUAGGCGGGAUGCCAAGUCAGCGGUAAAAAUGCGGUGCUCAACGCCGUCGAGCCGCUGAAACUGGCGUUCUUGAGUGGGCGAGAAGUAUGCGGAAUGCGUGGUGUAGCGGUGAAAUGCAUAGAUAUCACGCAGAACUCCGAUUGCGAAGGCAGCAUACCGGCGCCCUACUGACGCUGAGGCACGAAAGCGUGGGUAUCGAACAGG